CGAGUUGGCCAGGUAGUCGCUGAUUUUAAAUGAACGUUUAGUAUCAGAGGAAAGUCCGGGCUCCGACAGGGCAAGAUGCCAGGUAACGCCUGGGAGGUGUGAACCUACGGAAAGUGCCACAGAAAUGAUACCGCCUAUUUUAGAAUAGGUAAGGGUGAAAUGGUGCGGUAAGAGCGCACCGCGCUGUUGGUAACAACAGUGGCAGGGUAAACCCCAUCUGGAGCAAGACCAAAUAGAGGUUCAAUGGCGUGGCCCACGCUGAAUCUGGGUUGGUCGCUAGAAUGUAUUGGUGACAGUGCAUCAAGAUGAAUGACUAUCCAAGACAGAACCCGGCUUAUCGGCCAACUCAAAUU
This 353-nucleotide RNase P RNA is filed under the name Legionellales bacterium. RNAcentral's name for it is "RNase P RNA component class A". It matches the Rfam family "Bacterial RNase P class A". From Rfam's summary of the family: Ribonuclease P (RNase P) is a ubiquitous endoribonuclease, found in archaea, bacteria and eukarya as well as chloroplasts and mitochondria. Lineage: Bacteria; Pseudomonadati; Pseudomonadota; Gammaproteobacteria; Legionellales. The record is from RNAcentral.